GAUGAACGCUGGCGGCGUGCCUAAUACAUGCAAGUCGAGCGAACGGACGAGAAGCUUGCUUCUCUGCUGUUAGCGGCGGACGGGUGAGUAACACGUGGAUAACCUACCUAUAAGACUGGGAUAACUUCGGGAAACCGGAGCUAAUACCGGAUGAUAUUUUGAACCGCAUGGUUCAAAAGUGAAAGACGGUCUUGCUGUCACUAAUAGAUGGAUCCGCGCUGCAUUAGCUAGUUGGUAAGGUAACGGCUUACCAAGGCAACGAUGCAUAGCCGACCUGAGAGGGUGAUCAGCCACACUGGAACUGAGACACGGUCCAGACUCCUACGGGAGGCAGCAGUAGGGAAUCUUCCGCAAUGGGCGAAAGCCUGACGGAGCAACGCCGCGUGAGUGAUGAAGGUCUUCGGAUCGUAAAGCUCUGUUAUUAGGGAAGAACAUAUGUGUAAGUAACUGUGCACAUCUUGACGGUACCUAAUCAGAAAGCCACGGCUAACUACGUG
This 497-nucleotide ribosomal RNA is filed under the name uncultured bacterium. RNAcentral's name for it is "partial 16S ribosomal RNA". It matches the Rfam family "Bacterial small subunit ribosomal RNA", at positions 28 to 507 of the family's 1533-position model. The record is from RNAcentral.